CGGAAGUUAGAAACUGUUUCUUAACUUUUAACUAAAAAAGUUAAGAAUCGGUUCUUAAAAUCCCUAUUUAAGAACCGGUUCUUAAAAUUCCUAUUUAAGAACCGGUUCUUAAAAUCCCUAUUUAAGAACCCGUUCUUAACUUUUUUAGUUAAAAGUUAAGAAACAGUUUCUUAACUUCCG
Molecule: microRNA precursor, 180 nt
Filed under: Brassica carinata (Ethiopian mustard)
Lineage: Eukaryota; Viridiplantae; Streptophyta; Magnoliopsida; Brassicales; Brassicaceae
Also listed under: 1 other name
Description: MIR9563 microRNA precursor family
Rfam family: MIR9563 microRNA precursor family
Source: Rfam by way of RNAcentral